Long non-coding RNA from Saccostrea cuccullata (small rock oyster), 1789 nucleotides. RefSeq lists it as uncharacterized. The transcript is spliced from 3 exons. NCBI's taxonomy places the organism in Eukaryota, Metazoa, Mollusca, Bivalvia, Ostreida, Ostreidae. The record is from RefSeq and is a predicted model, not a curated record.
UUACAGGGAGAUAACUCUUGCGAAUCACCAAAGCGUUUGAAACAGGCGACUUUAAACCAGCGAUGCUAAGCAUCUCGGUAACGAAUUUCCUCUGUCAUACUUGAUGUUUGUUGUCACUUAUUGUUAGGACUAAAAACAAAGGACGUUUUAAGGAGAAAGUCUUAUAACAAAUCAAAGCAUAGGAAUCUUAAAAGCCUUUGAGAUUAGCGUGAUGCAUGUGGAUGAACCAAUAAAGGAGGACUUGUUUAUUUUCGAUACGGAAUGUGGCAUUGAAGUUGUAGGCCAUUCCGAUCAGAAGAAAGUUAUCGACGCAUUGUGCUGUUGUGUGUUUCUCGCUUCACCACUACACUAAAAUUUUAAGUGAGAAUGGGAAGGAAAAAAGAAAAGACCUGAGAGUAUCCUGUAAAGUAUUAUGCUUUAUGCAGUCCGAACAGGGAAGAAAAGUCACGGUGCAUUUGACCAUGUCCAAUGAUGAUGUUGACAGUUUGAUUGUUGAUAGUAUUUUCAUCAGAUCAAUUGGGUCAUUAAUUGGAAUAGAUAAGAACAAAAAAAGUACAUGUACUUCAGUGUUUCCUUAAAAGAUUUGUGCCAUCAAUCAAAGUAGAGGUCAUCCCAUAUCAGCUCAAGAAUAUUAAAGAAAGUUGGAUGGAUCAAGCUAAGAUGUUGAACCAGACAUGGCAAAGUCAAUGGAGAUUUGGAAAAGAAAUGAUGUUUUGUUGUACCCAAUGCAUAUUUUUAAUAUGUCUAUAGAUUAUAGAAAAAAAUUUAAUGUUUAACAGCAUCCUAUCUACCUGGUAGUAUAUACAUGCUGUUUUCAAUAUAUUUAGAAAAUAUGUGUAUGUGAUGAUUGCAGUGCAUGCUCUAUUUGUCCAUCUUUGAAUUUGUUUUCAGUAAAAUAAAUGUAUACAUUAAGGUAUUAAUUGAAGGUUGCUUUUGUCUACACUUACAAGUAACAAGUUUCUUAAAAGGGUUAUUUUGUAAAAUUGCAAGGAAAUUAAUACAUGAACAAUUAAAUUUAAUAUUUUUAUUCAUUAAAUUUUUUCUUACCAGGACCUAAUAUGCUCAAAUAAGUAUUUCUGAAAACUGAAGAGUUUUGUAAAUAAAGCUGCAGUGAACAUUUAACAGUUUAAAAUAUGACACUUGGAAAUUGAAAGGUUGUUAAUUUAGUAGGAAUGAUAAGACCAGUUUAGUAAUCAACUAAAAUUAAAAUCUUUCACAAAUACAUGUAGUUUAUUUUAAAAUUGUUUACAUUUAUAAUCUUUUAAUUUUUUUCUGAAUUUUGAUUUUAAAAAGGAGAAAAAAAUUUUAUAUUUAAAUUAUUAUUUCAUGGAUAUCAAGGAGAUAUAUCUAUCACUGUAACAUUGUUUCUUUUUCCCUGUUCUUGACAAAUAUUUAUGACAGUGUUAUGUCAUUUUGCAGAAUUUGCCUUUUCUCUGAAAUCAGAAGUACUCUGUAAACUCAUUAAAGUAUGAAUUGAAGUCACUUAGAAUUCAUCUUUAUUUUGUUCUGUCUGAUAUUUCAAUUUAGAUUCUCAGACUACCUAAUCCAAUGAUUGAGCUAAUGUCCAUGAAGUGUAGAAAUAGGCCGUCUUUAAGAUAUGUUUGGUUGUCUGCCUCUCCAGACCGACUGACUAAAAUGACCAGACUGAAAUUUUUUUUUCAACGCAGGGCCAUAUUUUUUCUUUUUAUUCCUCUUAUUCCCCGUAAAGAAAUGUUGUUGAAGAUUUUCUCACCUACCGACCCAAUAAUUUUACCCAGAGUCAAGAGAGGGCAAACAAACAUUACUUUCA